UAGUGAAUAAACCUCUGAGGGAAUGUAGUUGCAUUCAUUAGGGGGCGUCAAAAUGUAUUCUUGCCUAGGGUGGCAAGAAUCCUUGCACCGGCCCUGGUCCCCAGGCACUUCAUCUUGGCUUUACUGACCAUAAAUAUACCUUCUCCAGCAUUAGAGAAUAAAACUGGUUUACCUCACAGUGUUUACUGAACUGUCACAAAUGACACCUCAUUUUCCUAAUACCAUCGGCUAUGUCGCCCAUUCC
This is a non-coding RNA of Pelobates cultripes (western spadefoot toad), 244 nucleotides long. NCBI's taxonomy places the organism in Eukaryota, Metazoa, Chordata, Amphibia, Anura, Pelobatidae. The record is from the annotation of a GenBank genome assembly.